AGAAUCAACGCUGGCGGCGUGCCUAACACAUGCAAGUCGAACGAGAAAGUGGAGCAAUCCAUAAGUAAAGUGGCGCACGGGUGAGUAACACGUGACUAACCUACCCUUGAGUGGGGGAUAACCUAGGGAAACCUGGGCUAAUACCGCAUAAUACCUUCGGGUCAAAGGAGCAAUUCGCUUAAGGAGGGGGUCGCGGCCGAUUAGUUAGUUGGCGGGGUAAUGGCCCACCAAGACUAUGAUCGGUAUCC
This 248-nucleotide ribosomal RNA is filed under the name uncultured bacterium. Its description in RNAcentral is "partial small subunit ribosomal RNA". It matches the Rfam family "Bacterial small subunit ribosomal RNA", at positions 26 to 288 of the family's 1533-position model. The record is from RNAcentral.